RNAcentral lists this ribosomal RNA (253 nucleotides) under uncultured bacterium. RNAcentral describes it as "partial 16S ribosomal RNA". It matches the Rfam family "Bacterial small subunit ribosomal RNA", at positions 524 to 776 of the family's 1533-position model. The record is from RNAcentral.
UACGUAGGGUGCGAGCGUUAAUCGGAAUUACUGGGCGUAAAGCGUGCGCAGGCGGUGAUGUAAGACAGUUGUGAAAUCCCCGGGCUUAACCUGGGAAUUGCGUUGGAGACUGCAAGGCUGGAGUCUGGCAGAGGGGGGUAGAAUUCCACGUGUAGCAGUGAAAUGCGUAGAUAUCAGGAGGAAUACCGAUGGCGAAGGCAGGUCUCUGGGCUGACACUGACGCUCAUGCACGAAAGCGUGGGGAGCAAACAGG